UUCCGUAGGUGAACCUGCGGACUAGCAUCGAUGAAGAACGCAGCAUCCGUAGGUGAACCUGCGGAAGGAU
Molecule: ribosomal RNA, 70 nt
Filed under: uncultured fungus
Lineage: Eukaryota; Fungi
Description: partial 18S ribosomal RNA
Source: RNAcentral